UAUUUUCGAAAAGUGUUUGUGACUAACUAGCUGUGUUUAGAGUUAUUAAAUUGAAAAAUCUCAAGAUGUUAUUAUAUUGUUCACUUUUUGCUAUUCUGCUUCAUGGCGGUGCAAUCAGCAUGGCGAUAGUUUCGAAUGAAACACAAACGGUUGACUUUAAAUAUGAGCCGGGUUCAAUUGUGCAUUCAGGACGAGUGACUGUGCGUCAGAUAGAUGCUCCAGUGCAGCCAAUUUUCGUUUAUCGCAAGUUUCGCAUUCAAAAUACGGACAAUAGACAAAACAACUUGCUUAGUUUGCUGAACAUUGACAAUUGGUUGAAUGCAACGCAACAACAACACCAACAAUAGCAGCGAUAACAGCCAACAUACAUAGCAUAUACGCAUCGAAACGAUGAAUACAAGAGCAUACGACAUUGUAAAAUGAUUCUGUACAUUACCCAAACUUAAAUAAAUCGCGAAUUGGUGUGACAAUA
Molecule: long non-coding RNA, 472 nt
Organism: Contarinia nasturtii (swede midge)
Lineage: Eukaryota; Metazoa; Arthropoda; Insecta; Diptera; Cecidomyiidae
Exons: 2
Source: RefSeq, a predicted model, not a curated record